Molecule: ribosomal RNA, 927 nt
Filed under: uncultured bacterium
Lineage: Bacteria
Description: bacterial SSU rRNA
Rfam family: Bacterial small subunit ribosomal RNA
Source: RNAcentral
ACGCUGGCGGCAGGCUUAACACAUGCAAGUCGAACGGUAGCAGGAGAAAGCUUGCUUUCUUGCUGACGAGUGGCGGACGGGUGAGUAAUGCUUGGGAAUCUGGCUUAUGGAGGGGGAUAACUACGGGAAACUGUAGCUAAUACCGCGUAGUGUCGAGAGACGAAAGUGCGGGACCGCAAGGCCGCAUGCCAUGAGAUGAGCCCAAGUGGGAUUAGGUAGUUGGUGGGGUAAAGGCCUACCAAGCCUGCGAUCUCUAGCUGGUCUGAGAGGAUGGCCAGCCACACUGGAACUGAGACACGGUCCAGACUCCUACGGGAGGCAGCAGUGGGGAAUAUUGCGCAAUGGGGGGAACCCUGACGCAGCCAUGCCGCGUGAAUGAAGAAGGCCUUCGGGUUGUAAAGUUCUUUCGGUAUUGAGGAAGGAGUGUAUGUUAAUAGCAUACAUUAUUGACGUUAAAUACAGAAGAAGCACCGGCUAACUCCGUGCCAGCAGCCGCGGUAAUACGGAGGGUGCGAGCGUUAAUCGGAAUAACUGGGCGUAAAGGGCACGCAGGCGGUUAUUUAAGUGAGGUGUGAAAGCCCCGGGCUUAACCUGGGAAUUGCAUUUCAGACUGGGUAACUAGAGUACUUUAGGGAGGGGUAGAAUUCCACGUGUAGCGGUGAAAUGCGUAGAGAUGUGGAGGAAUACCGAAGGCGAAGGCAGCCCCUUGGGAAUGUACUGACGCUCAUGUGCGAAAGCGUGGGGAGCAAACAGGAUUAGAUACCCUGGUAGUCCACGCUGUAAACGCUGUCGAUUUGGGGAUUGGGCUUAAAGUCUGGCGCCCGUAGCUAACGUGAUAAAUCGACCGCCUGGGGAGUACGGCCGCAAGGUUAAAACUCAAAUGAAUUGACGGGGGCCCGCACAAGCGGUGGAGCAUGUGGUUUAAUU